GGAGCUUGCUUUAUAUAACUUAGCAGCGAACGGGUGAGUAACACGUAGAUAAUCUAUCCUAUACUGGGGGAUAGCCCGAUGAAAGUUGGAUUAAUACCGCAUAUAGCUAUAUAGUUGCAUGAUUAUGUAGUGAAAGAUUUAUUGGUAUAGGAGGAGUCUGCGGCACAUUAGCUAGUAGGUGAGGUAAAGGCUUACCUAGGCGACGAUGUGUAGCCGGUCUGAGAGGAUGAACGGCCACAAUGGAACUGAGACACGGUCCAUACUCCUACGGGAGGCAGCAGUGGGGAAUAUUGCACAAUGGGGGAAACCCUGAUGCAGCAACGCCGCGUGAGUGAAGAAGGUUUUCGGAUUGUAAAGCUCUGUUAGCAGGGAAGAGGAAGGACGGUACCUGCAGAGGAAGCCACGGCUAACUACGUGCCAGCAGCCGCGGUAAUACGUAGGUGGCAAGCGUUGUUCGGAAUAACUGGGCGUAAAGGAUGCGUAGGCGGUUAAACAAGUUAUAUGUUAAAUAUAUAGGCUUAACCUGUAGAAAGCAUAUAAAACUGUUUAACUAGAGUGCAGGAGAGGUAAGUGGAAUUCCUAGUGUAGCGGUGAAAUGCGUAGAGAUUAGGAAGAACACCAGUGGCGAAGGCGACUUACUGGACUGUAACUGACGCUGAGGCAUGAGAGCAUGGGGAGCAAACAGGAUUAGAUACCCUGGUAGUCCAUGCUGUAAACGAUGGGUA
Molecule: ribosomal RNA, 725 nt
Filed under: uncultured bacterium
Lineage: Bacteria
Description: bacterial SSU rRNA
Rfam family: Bacterial small subunit ribosomal RNA
Source: RNAcentral